Molecule: ribosomal RNA, 380 nt
Filed under: Serratia liquefaciens
Lineage: Bacteria; Pseudomonadati; Pseudomonadota; Gammaproteobacteria; Enterobacterales; Yersiniaceae
Description: bacterial SSU rRNA
Rfam family: Bacterial small subunit ribosomal RNA
Source: RNAcentral
GGUGAUAAACCGGAGGAAGGUGGGGAUGACGUCAAGUCAUCAUGGCCCUUACGAGUAGGGCUACACACGUGCUACAAUGGCGUAUACAAAGAGAAGCGAACUCGCGAGAGCAAGCGGACCUCAUAAAGUACGUCGUAGUCCGGAUCGGAGUCUGCAACUCGACUCCGUGAAGUCGGAAUCGCUAGUAAUCGUAGAUCAGAAUGCUACGGUGAAUACGUUCCCGGGCCUUGUACACACCGCCCGUCACACCAUGGGAGUGGGUUGCAAAAGAAGUAGGUAGCUUAACCUUCGGGAGGGCGCUUACCACUUUGUGAUUCAUGACUGGGGUGAAGUCGUAACAAGGUAACCGUAGGGGAACCUGCGGUUGGAUCACCUCCUUA